RNAcentral lists this ribosomal RNA (253 nucleotides) under uncultured bacterium. RNAcentral describes it as "partial 16S ribosomal RNA". It matches the Rfam family "Bacterial small subunit ribosomal RNA", at positions 524 to 776 of the family's 1533-position model. The record is from RNAcentral.
CACGUAGGGCGCAAGCGUUGUCCGGAAUUAUUGGGCGUAAAGAGCUCGUAGGCGGUCUGUUGCGUCCGCUGUGAAAACCCGGGGCUUAACCCCUGGCUUGCAGUGGAUACGGACAGACUAGAGGUAGGUAGGGGAGAAUGGAAUUCCCGGUGUAGCGGUGAAAUGCGCAGAUAUCGGGAGGAACACCGGUGGCGAAGGCGGUUCUCUGGGCCUUACCUGACGCUGAGGAGCGAAAGCGUGGGGAGCUAACAGG